UUUGUAAUUUCAGAAUUGACC
Molecule: non-coding RNA, 21 nt
Filed under: Arabidopsis thaliana (thale cress)
Lineage: Eukaryota; Viridiplantae; Streptophyta; Magnoliopsida; Brassicales; Brassicaceae
Source: RNAcentral